GAUGAAGAACGUAGCGAAAUGUGAUACGUAAUGUGAAUUGCAGAAUUCAGUGAAUCAUCGAAUCUUUGAACGCAUAUUGCGCUCUCUGGUAUUCCGGAGAGCAUGCUUGUUUGAGUAUCAGUAAACACCUCAACUCCCCUUUCUUUUUUGAAAUGGGAGCUGGACUUGAGUGAUCCCAACGCUUUUCUCACCGAAAAGUGGCGGGUUACUUGAAAUGCAGGUGCAGCUGGACUUUUCUCUGAGCUAAAAGCAUAUCUAUUUAGUCUGCCUAAAAACAGAUUAUUACCUUUGCUGCAGCUAACAUAAAGGAGAUUAGUUCUUGUGCUGACUGAUGCAGGAUUCACAGAGACAGCUUCGGCUGGCCUUUGUAAACUCGAUCUCAAAUCAAGUAAGACUACCCGCUGAACUUAAGCAUAUCAAUAAGCGGAGGA
RNAcentral lists this unclassified non-coding RNA (431 nucleotides) under soil metagenome. RNAcentral's name for it is "partial contains 5.8S ribosomal RNA, internal transcribed spacer 2, and large subunit ribosomal RNA". The stretch from base 1 to 120 matches the Rfam family "5.8S ribosomal RNA", at positions 35 to 154 of the family's 154-position model. The record is from RNAcentral.